GACGAACGCUGGCGGCGUGCCUAAUACAUGCAAGUAGAACGCUGAAGGAGGAGCUUGCUUCUCUGGAUGAGUUGCGAACGGGUGAGUAACGCGUAGGUAACCUGCCUGGUAGCGGGGGAUAACUAUUGGAAACGAUAGCCAAUACCGCAUAAUAGUAGAUGUUGCAUGACAUUUGCUUAAAAGGUGCAAUUGCAUCACUACCAGAUGGACCUGCGUUGUAUUAGCUAGUUGGUGGGGUAACGGCUCACCAAGGCGACGAUACAUAGCCGACCUGAGAGGGUGGUCGGCCACACUGGGACUGAGACACGGCCCAGACGCCUACGGGAGGCAGCAGUAGGGAAUCUUCGGCAAUGGACGGAAGUCUGACCGAGCAACGCCGCGUGAGUGAAGAAGGUUUUCGGAUCGUAAAGCUCUGUUGUAAGAGAAGAACGAGUGUGAGAGUGGAAAGGUCACACUGUGACGGUAUCUUACCAGAAAGGGACGGCUAACUACGUG
RNAcentral lists this ribosomal RNA (495 nucleotides) under uncultured bacterium. RNAcentral's name for it is "partial 16S ribosomal RNA". It matches the Rfam family "Bacterial small subunit ribosomal RNA", at positions 28 to 507 of the family's 1533-position model. The record is from RNAcentral.